This 465-nucleotide ribosomal RNA is filed under the name uncultured bacterium. Its description in RNAcentral is "partial 16S ribosomal RNA". It matches the Rfam family "Bacterial small subunit ribosomal RNA", at positions 339 to 795 of the family's 1533-position model. The record is from RNAcentral.
CUACGGGCUGCAGCAGUGAGGAAUUUUGCGCAAUGGGGGAAACCCUGACGCAGCAACGCCGCGUGAGUGAUGAAGGCUUUCGAGUCGUAAAGCUCUGUCAAGUGGGAAGAAACUACUUUAUGCCAAUACCAUGAAGUAUUGACGGUACCACUGAAGGAAGCACCGGCUAACUUCGUGCCAGCAGCCGCGGUAAUACGGGGGGUGCAAGCGUUAUUCGGAAUUAUUGGGCGUAAAGAGCGCGUAGGCGGUCUUUUAAGUCAGAUGUGAAAGCCCAGGGCUCAACCCUGGAAGUGCAUUUGGUACUAAGAGUCUUGAGUAUGGGAGAGGGAAGUGGAAUUCCUGGUGUAGAGGUGAAAUUCGUAGAUAUCAGGAGGAACACCGGUGGCGAAGGCGACUUCCUGGACCAAUACUGACACUGAGGCGCGAAGGCGUGGGGAGCAAACAGGAUUAGAUACCCGCGUAGUC